Molecule: ribosomal RNA, 208 nt
Filed under: uncultured bacterium
Lineage: Bacteria
Description: partial 16S ribosomal RNA
Rfam family: Bacterial small subunit ribosomal RNA
Source: RNAcentral
CGUGAGGAAUACCGGCGAGAAAUCGCCGACAAUACCGCAUGCGCUUCUCUUGGCAAAGAGAGAAGCAAAGCUCCUUUCGAGAGAGAGGGGCGCUUAGGGAGGGGCUUCCGCUCGAUUAGCUGGUUGGAGAGGUAAGAGCUCACCAAGGCGACGAUCGAUCGCUGGUCUGAGAGGAUGAUCAGCCACACUGGGAUUGAGAACGGCCCAG